RNAcentral lists this ribosomal RNA (506 nucleotides) under uncultured bacterium. RNAcentral describes it as "bacterial SSU rRNA". It matches the Rfam family "Bacterial small subunit ribosomal RNA", at positions 32 to 513 of the family's 1533-position model. The record is from RNAcentral.
AAUCAACGCUGGCGGCGUGCCUAACACAUGCAAGUCGAACGCGAAAGCCCCUUCGGGGGUAAGUAGAGUGGCGUCCGGGUGAGUAACACGUAGGUAAUCUACCUUCGGGUGGGGAAUAACCAGUCGAAAGAUUGGCUAAUACCGCAUAAUGCAGCGGCACCUAAUGGUGAUUAGUUGUUAAAGCGGGGGAUCGUAAGACCUCGCGCCUGAAGAGGAGCCUGCGGCAGAUUAGCUAGUUGGGAGGUAAUGGCUCACCAAGGCUUCGAUCUGUAGCUGGUCUGAGAGGACGGCCAGCCACACUGGCACUGACACACGGGCCAGACUCCUACGGGAGGCAGCAGUGGGGAAUUUUGGGCAAUGGGCGAAUGCCUGACGCAGCGACGCCGCGUGUGGGAUGAAGGUCUUCGGAUCGUAAACCACUGUCAGCGGGGACGAAGGCCGGGCGUUAACUGCGACCCGGAUUGACGGUACCCGCGGAGGAAGCACCGGCUAACUCUGUGCCAGCC